RNAcentral lists this ribosomal RNA (1395 nucleotides) under uncultured bacterium. Its description in RNAcentral is "16S ribosomal RNA". It matches the Rfam family "Bacterial small subunit ribosomal RNA". The record is from RNAcentral.
AGAGUUUGAUCCUGGCUCAGGAUGAACGCUAGCUACAGGCUUAACACAUGCAAGUCGAGGGGCAGCAUCAUCAAAGCUUGCUUCGAUGGAUGGCGACCGGCGCACGGGUGAGUAACACGUAUCCAACCUGCCGACAACACUGGGAUAGCCUUUCGAAGGAAAGAUUAAUACCGGAUGGCAUAGUUUUCCCGCAUGGGAUAAUUAUUAAAGAAUCUCGGUUGUCGAUGGGGAUGCGUUCCAUUAGGCAGUUGGCGGGGUAACGGCCCACCAAACCAACGAUGGAUAGGGGUUCUGAGAGGAAGGUCCCCCACAUUGGAACUGAGACACGGUCCAAACUCCUACGGGAGGCAGCAGUGAGGAAUAUUGGUCAAUGGACGAGAGUCUGAACCAGCCAAGUAGCGUGAAGGAUGACUGCCCUAUGGGUUGUAAACUUCUUUUAUACGGGAAUAAAGUUAGCCACGUGUGGCUUUUUGUAUGUACCGUAUGAAUAAGGAUCGGCUAACUCCGUGCCAGCAGCCGCGGUAAUACGGAGGAUCCGAGCGUUAUCCGGAUUUAUUGGGUUUAAAGGGAGCGUAGGCGGGUUGUUAAGUCAGUUGUGAAAGUUUGCGGCUCAACCGUAAAAUUGCAGUUGAUACUGGCGACCUUGAGUGCAACAGAGGUAGGCGGAAUUCGUGGUGUAGCGGUGAAAUGCUUAGAUAUCACGAAGAACUCCGAUUGCGAAGGCAGCUUACUGGAUUGUAACUGACGCUGAUGCUCGAAAGUGUGGGUAUCAAACAGGAUUAGAUACCCUGGUAGUCCACACAGUGAACGAUGAAUACUCGCUGUUGGCGAUAUACAGUCAGCGGCCAAGCGAAAGCAUUAAGUAUUCCACCUGGGGAGUACGCCGGCAACGGUGAAACUCAAAGGAAUUGACGGGGGCCCGCACAAGCGGAGGAACAUGUGGUUUAAUUCGAUGAUACGCGAGGAACCUUACCCGGGCUUAAAUUGCAACUGACUGAACCGGAAACGGUUCUUUCUUCGGACAGUUGUGAAGGUGCUGCAUGGUUGUCGUCAGCCCGUGCCGUGAGGUGUCGGCUUAAGUGCCAUAACGAGCGCAACCCUUAUCGAUAGUUACUAGCAGGUCAUGCUGAGGACUCUAUUGAGACUGCCGUCGUAAGAUGUGAGGAAGGUGGGGAUGACGUCAAAUCAGCACGGCCCUUACGUCCGGGGCUACACACGUGUUACAAUGGGGGGUACAGAAGGCAGCUACACGGCGACGUGGUGCUAAUCCCGAAAGCCUCUCUCAGUUCGGAUUGGAGUCUGCAACCCGACUCCAUGAAGCUGGAUUCGCUAGUAAUCGCGCAUCAGCCACGGCGCGGUGAAUACGUUCCCGGGCCUUGUACACACAGCCCGUCA